Molecule: telomerase RNA, 1527 nt
Filed under: Fusarium vanettenii 77-13-4
Lineage: Eukaryota; Fungi; Ascomycota; Sordariomycetes; Hypocreales; Nectriaceae
Description: ascomycota telomerase RNA
Rfam family: Ascomycota telomerase RNA
Source: Rfam by way of RNAcentral
UUCACUCUUACUCAACACGCGCGACGCCUCCCCCACAGUUCUCCGACUCACGUUUUCCGCAAGGAAUGUCUAUCGCAGGCCCCCUUCCCAUCUGGUUAGCCGCAAUAUGCCGCUCUCGAACCUGUAUCAGGAUCUCGUUAUGCCGCAGCUGGAUUAUUGUGGAUGCACCGCGACCUGUAGAGGUUGUACCAGGGCAGAAGGGUAACGCGUUUCGGAACUUAACCCUAAGAAGAUAUCUGGUUUAAGCUUUGCGCUCUUGUCGUCCAAGUCGUCUUCUAAGCCGGCUAGGCACCUAUGGCUGUGACGUGCCCGCUGAAAAGUUGGACGAUCGGCUUGUGGUGCCAGGCGGACGGACAGGCGAGGAGGAUAGUCCAGUCACCUUUGUGUGCGCGAGAGGAUCGGUGCCAUGAGUCGUUACGGUAAGAGCCUCUGGUCUGAGGACGCUCGUCAGCCCUUUCCACUGGAACCAGCACAUCGGUCAAGAGUAGACCGUCCUGGAGAUGCAAUCAGCCAUGGGAUCAUGGAGAUGGAACCGGCAAGGCUCUCGUGCCCUCUGUGCCCAAGCAGCCAAGAAUUGGGGUGUUGGUAUGGCUUCAUACAGUCAGUCUCCGUAUUUCAUCAACUCGCCCAAGUCGUCGCCUGUCGGAACCGCCAUCUGGUAAACUCCACCUGGUGCAAUGGGCCACUUGCGGAAACAUACAGAAAUUGGAACGACAACUGACCCUUCUUGCCAGCCAAAUGGCUCCCGGCCCUUCGAAGCUGCAGAUCGAUGGCUUGGCAGAUUGCUGCACUGGUUCACAUCAAAUCCACUCCCUCGACUCGAUUCGCUCCCAGGACCAUGCCAUGGCAAUUCGUCGUGGCGUGUGACGCUCUGCGUCUGGUCUGACCAAGCGCAUUAACCUCUAGCCAUUGGGUCCCCAAUCCCUUGGUCAUGAUGGGCGCCGGCCCACCUGAAGGUGCCUAUAUACUGGACAGGGUCCAGAUGGCCCUAAAGGAUUCCUCGACUCUAACCUGAAAAGGCGAGCCUGAGAUGACAGGGUGGUUUUUAUGGAUGUCUUUUGUCCACCCGUUCACGUCCUCCGCAAUUCUUGCUACAAGAUGGAGAGAUUACAAAAACUGGUCCUUGUUGGCAGUGCGAAUCAAACAGAAGGGGUCAUCUUGUUCGCGUCGAGUGUUUUUCAGACUGCGUUCUGUCAUGACGGCUUUCGGUGGUAUCCUGUCGGCGAAGGCAUCUAACUUUGCUGGGAUUUACAGUUACUCGGGACAGUUCAGCUUUGCAUUCGCCUUGUUCCCAACGACAAGAUCUACAGCAAGGUUCAAAGCAGCGCCGGGACCCAUCUCGAGUUGGAGUCAAAGUUUCGUGCUUGUCUGGUGUUGUGGCGGUCCUAGCCGUGGGUUGAGUCUGAGGUUGCAGGGUCGCACAGUUGCACUGAGUUGUAUCGUUGGAUCUUGGACAGGCCUGGUUGGAUAGGCAGUCCUGGUUGCCCUCUCACCAGAAAUAGUGCGGAGGGCAACCCCCCGCAGAGG